This is a small nucleolar RNA of Lycium barbarum (goji berry), 106 nucleotides long. The record is from RefSeq and is a predicted model, not a curated record. NCBI's taxonomy places the organism in Eukaryota, Viridiplantae, Streptophyta, Magnoliopsida, Solanales, Solanaceae.
AAACCAUGAUUCAGAUACUUCUGCAAAUAUUCCUUGAAUCUAUCCCAAGCUUCAAAUAAUUGUUCCCCCGAAAGCUAUUUGAAAUCAUAUAUCGUGUCACGAAUUU